RNAcentral lists this long non-coding RNA (340 nucleotides) under Mytilus galloprovincialis (Mediterranean mussel). Lineage: Eukaryota; Metazoa; Mollusca; Bivalvia; Mytilida; Mytilidae. The record is from RNAcentral.
CACGAAUAUAGUCCCUAGUGUUGACAGUGGGUUACUUGCCAUUAAUUUUUAUACCCCUUCCAAAUUUAUUUCUCCAUGUUUAAUGCCUCAAAUUGCAAGUAGGGGGUGAAAUUACACUGUAAAAAAUUUGGGUCCAGAAUUUUAAAGGAAAGUAGUGAUUUGGUCCAGCUGAAAAAGGUUGAAAAUUAGCACUUCGGAAGCUGUCAAAAGAUUUCAAGACGCCUUAAACAUAAAAUUGUCCAUAUUUUGAGUUAGAGCCGAUGAAGUUUUCUAUAAUUUUGAUAUAAUUUGUCCCAAAAGUAGUACAACACACUGUAAAAGUUUCUUUGAGAAAGCGCAG